AUUGAACGCUGGCGGCAGGCCUAACACAUGCAAGUCGAGCGGAUGAAGCGAGCUUGCUCCUGGAUUCAGCGGCGGACGGGUGAGUAAUGCCUAGGAAUCUGCCUGGUAGUGGGGGAUAACGUCCGGAAACGGGCGCUGAUACCGCAUACGUCCUGAGGGAGAAAGUGGGGGAUCUUCGGACCUCACGCUAUCAGAUGAGCCUAGGUCGGAUUAGCUAGUUGGUGGGGUAAAGGCCUACCAAGGCGACGAUCCGUAACUGGUCUGAGAGGAUGAUCAGUCACACUGGAACUGAGACACGGUCCAGACUCCUACGGGAGGCAGCAGUGGGGAAUAUUGGACAAUGGGCGAAAGCCUGAUCCAGCCAUGCCGCGUGUGUGAAGAAGGUCUUCGGAUUGUAAAGCACUUUAAGUUGGGAGGAAGGGCAGUAAGUUAAUACCUUGCUGUUUUGACGUUACCAACAGAAUAAGCACCGGCUAACUUCGUG
This 484-nucleotide ribosomal RNA is filed under the name uncultured bacterium. RNAcentral describes it as "partial 16S ribosomal RNA". It matches the Rfam family "Bacterial small subunit ribosomal RNA", at positions 30 to 507 of the family's 1533-position model. The record is from RNAcentral.